AUGAGGGUGAAGAGGCGAUCGCGGCACCGCAAGGUGGUUAAGUUCUACUCCACCUGCUUCGGCUUCCGCGAGCCCUACAAGGUGCUCAUCGAUGGCACCUUCGUGCACCACCUCCUCGUCCACCAACUCCUCCCCGCCGACGACGCCCUCCGCGAGCUCCUCUCCGCGUCCAGGGCGCCCCCGCUCUUGACCUCCAAGUGCGUCGUCGCCGAGCUCAGGCGCCUCGGCAAGUCCCACUCCGAGGCGUUCGACGCUGCCCAACUCGUCGCCACCGCCAGCUGUGAGCAUGACAAAGUGGUCAGUGCGGUGGACUGUAUUCUGUCACUUGUUGGUGAUAAGAAUCCGGAGCACUACUUUGUUGCCACCCAGGAUUCUGAUCUCCGGGCAAAGCUACGGGAGGUUCCUUGUGUUCCUGUGAUAUAUGGUCUGAAGAACUCCCUGUUUAUUGAGCAACCCUCUGUGCAGCAACGUCAGUUUGCUCAGUUGGAUGAGGAGAAGCGUAUACAUAUGGAAAAAUCAGAAUUUAAGAAGCUAUUAAAGGCGUCAUCUGAAGGAAAGACAUCCGUCUGUGGAAACGCUCCCGGAGUGGCAGAGAAAAGCAAGUUUAAAAGAAACAGAGCAAAGGGUCCAAACCCACUCUCUUGCAAGAAAAAGAAACCAAAGCCUCAACCAUCAGCUGCUCAAAAUCAGGGCCCGAAGACUGAUGGCGAGGCAAAGCGAAAGAGGGUUCGGAAGCGGAAGAGAAGUGCCAAAGGCAGUAGUCAAGCAGAGACAUGA
RNAcentral lists this ribosomal RNA (777 nucleotides) under Triticum aestivum (bread wheat). Its description in RNAcentral is "partial small subunit ribosomal RNA". The record is from RNAcentral. Lineage: Eukaryota; Viridiplantae; Streptophyta; Magnoliopsida; Poales; Poaceae.